GAUCAUUCUGCUGCAUCUCGAGAAUCAGCAAAACAGUCCAACUGGGGCAUUACAAAUGUAAUAAAAAAAAUCAAAAAGAAAAAAGGAAAAAAGAAAGAAAGAGGAGGGUGAAAAAUCAAAAUCAAAUCAAAAUCAAAAGAAAGAAAAAAAGAAAGAAAGAAACAAAAGGAAAAAAUAGCACCCUCAAAUCCCAAGUUGACUGAUGCUGAAUGGGUUCAGAGUCGUUAUGACCAACUGAAUUUGAUUGAAGAGAAGCGUUUGACUGCCAUGUGCUGUAACAC
This 281-nucleotide long non-coding RNA is filed under the name Lathyrus oleraceus (garden pea). RNAcentral's name for it is "Pisum sativum (pea) long non-coding RNA (PSAT_LNC021366)". Lineage: Eukaryota; Viridiplantae; Streptophyta; Magnoliopsida; Fabales; Fabaceae. The record is from RNAcentral.